This 333-nucleotide ribosomal RNA is filed under the name uncultured eukaryote. RNAcentral describes it as "partial 18S ribosomal RNA". It matches the Rfam family "Eukaryotic small subunit ribosomal RNA", at positions 1470 to 1796 of the family's 1831-position model. The record is from RNAcentral.
CCCUUAGAUGUUCGGGGCCGCACGCGCGCUACACUGAAGGGAUCAGCGUGUGUCUCGCCUGGCCUGGGAAGGCCGGGUAACCCGUUGAACCUCCUUCGUGCUAGGGAUUGGGGCUUGAAAUUGUUCCCCAUGAACGAGGAAUUCCCAGUAAGCGCGAGUCAUAAGCUCGCGUUGAUUACGUCCCUGCCCUUUGUACACACCGCCCGUCGCUACUACCGAUUGAACGGUUUAGUGAGGGCCUCGGAUUGGUCUCGGCCCGCUCUUUACCGGGCGGCGCCGUUGGUCGAGAAGACGCUCGAACUUGAUCGUUUAGAGGAAGUAAAAGUCGUAACA